GAGCCUGCGUGCAGUUUGAGUUUGCCGUAUUUUCUGGUUUUGCUCUGUCAGUGAAACUGCUCCGUCAGCAUGGGUCCUGGAGUUCUGGGGAGAGGGCACCAAACCAGCCUGAGACAGACAUGAACAGGUCAGCCGCUUUGGACCCAGAGAAGAGCAUGUCUGAUUGCAUGCGGGUUGAUGCCCCAGGUCCCGCCUCUGAGAAAAAGGUAUCGGACGGGUCUGAUGCUCUUUGGGUGGAUGACACCUAAAUGAACAUCGGUACAAAGUCCCAAUUUAUUUCUAAUAUCAGAGAUCAGACCUCUACUCUUGCCUGAUGCGUCUAAAACAAAAAGGGGGAACUGUAGAGAGCUGCGGAAUGCUAUGCCUUAAAGAUGGAGCUGGUUUCCGCCUUCCACCUUCCCGAUGGUCAAAUCUGGAGACCUACCACCAAAUAUAUAUACAUAUAUAUAUGUAUAUAUAUGUAUGUGAUGUAUGUGUAAACUUACAUCUAAAAUAGCAAGGUUGAGGCCAAGUGCUUUAAUCUCAGCACUCAGGAGGCAGAGGAAAGCAGAUCUACAGAGUUCAAGGCCAGCCUGGUCUACAGAGUAAGUUCCAAAACAGCCAGAGCACACAGAGACCUCGUCUCAAAAAAAACAAAAAAGAUUGAAAUAAAUAUUUAUUCAAUAAGUACAUGUGGGCUUCUGAGAACUGUAAAUGCAAUUUGUUUGCUAAAACUGUUUGUUCUGAUAUGUAUUUUUAGUGCUUUUUAAAAAAGCUAAGUGCAGCACAGCCAACCAAUAAUUGUGCAAUAAUACUCAGAGAAAGAUGGUAGCACAGGUCAAGGUUGUUUGGAAUUCUUUUUCCUUUGGGCAUUUUUUUAAAUAGGAAGAUAAGUUUUAACUCAUCAAAAAGAAAGAAAGAAAAUAAAAAGAAAAAAGAAAAACUGUGCCUUAGCUCACUGUUAUAUUAAUAGAAUGACUUUAAAUCAUGCUGAAGUGUAACCUUCAAAAAUUAAUUUACCAGCACAGAAGGCAUUACAAUAUCUACCUCAUAUUGAUUAUCAUAGUUAAUCUUCACAGAUAUCUUGCAAAACAGAUAUGAAUAUCACCUUUAGAGAUAAGGCAAUGUGGACUAACAAGUUUAAAUAAUUUGAGCAAAAUCACACAGAAAAUCCCAGCACUCAGGAGGCAGAGGCAGGCGGAUCUCUAUGAGUUUAAGGCCAGCCUGGUUUACAAAGUAAGUUCUAAGACAGCCCAGGCUACACAGAGAAAUUCUUUCUUAUAAAACAAACCAAAAAAUCACAAAGAGAAAUAAGACCAGAAUUUGAGCAUGUCACUCUGCUCCCGGGCUUUUAUUCUGUCUGUUCAAUGUGAACACUCAAGUCAUACUUUGGGGGCUAGAGUCCAUAAUAUGACGUGUUUGUCUUUUCUCGUGUCUUGCUGUCUCACUUACUGUUCUAUUGCUAUGAAGAGACACUGUGACCAAGGAAUCUCUCACAAAGUAAAGUAUUUAACUGAGGCCUUUCUCUCAUAUUUGGAGGAUUAUAGUCUAUUAUCAUCACAGUGAGAAUAAAGACAUGCAGGUAGGCAUGGUGUUGGAAAAGUCACAUCCUAAACCCAAAUUAGUAAGCAGAGAGAGAGAAAGAGAGAAAGAUCCUCAGCUUCGUGUGGGCUUUUGAAGCCUCAAAUAUAUACACAGCGAUUCACUUCCUUCAAGACCACACCUACUCUAACAAGGACAUACCUCCUGGUCCUUCUAAUCUUUUCAAACAUUUCCACUCCUUCUUGACUAGGUAUUCAAAUAUAUGAUCCUAUUGGAGCCAUUCUUAUUCAAACCACCACACUUAACUUUAGAGCACUUUUGAAAACAUAUCUCCACAUAUAUAAUGCUGUCUUAUGAAGUUAUUCAAAGUUAUAAUUCUAAAAAAAGGGGAAGGCAGCUUUAGUUAUUUGAGAAAACACCCUGAAUAUAAAGUUUUGCUAUUUCCUAUAGUUUUGAAUAUGUAAUUGGCACCAUACUCCUUCCUAGCUUGCUACACAAAGUCAUCCUGUGGUAAACUUCACAGGAACACUCUAUGUCUCCAAAUAUAAUUUUUAAAUUCUUUACCCCAGUAUUCUACCUAUUCCCAUAAUGUUUAUUCUGAUCAAUAACAGUUGUUUGUAUCUUGCUAAUAGACUCAAAACUAUAUGUUCUCUUGUAAGCUGUAUAUAUCCAAAGCAACUGUUCUCCAUCACUGUCUUGAAGAGCCUCCAUGUUGCUGUGAGGGGAUGGGUGGUAGAGAGAUGAAAUCCCUGCCUGAUGUGACCUGACAGCACUUCCUCAAUGCCUCCCACACUUAGAAGAUCACUAGGUUGUGUUCUCACUCAUGGGAUUCACUCACAUAGCCACUUCAAUUAUCAAACUGCUUAUCACCUGGUAUAGUUCAGACAGGUACUGGAUGAGGUUCCUCAUGGAACCAGAAUCAACCUUCCCUUGAUACACCGACCUAUCUACAAACAAGCUUUUUACCUACUCAGAUACUUAUAUAUUCUUCAUCAAACAUGAGCAUUUUGUUGACAUCUCACUUGGUUUAAAUUUCUCCCGAGUCAGUCCUCAGGUUUUAAUAACCAUUAAAAUAAGAAGUAAAACUUUCCUUCUGUGCUUUUAUGAAUAAAAUCAGUGGCAGAGACUGAGUGACUCUAACAUUUUCCUCACAGUUUUGAAAGCUGAGAAGUCCAAGUUUGGGGUGACAACAUAGCUAUAUUUUGUAAAACCCCUUCCACUAUAUUUUAUAGUUUGUGGUGUCCUCACAUGGCAAAGAAGAAAGGGAAAUGAGUUGUUCUUACAAGACGGUAAUCCCUUUCUAGACUACUCUGUCCUGAAGGUUUAAUUACUUUUCAAAGGUCCUACCUUCAAAUAUUAUUACAUAGGAGGUCAGAGUCAUAUAAAUUUUGGGUAGACACAAAUAUUCAGCCUAUAGGUAUAUAAUAUGCCAUUUAUAAAUAUAGAUGUGCAAAUGUCAUGGAAAAGCAGACUCAAAGUAAAUGGUUGCAUUUGAGUGGUGGUCAAAACCAAAGCAUGAAGUCAUGAAGGUCUAAUUUGGCACAGCUCCAAACGGAACUAGUUCUCUAGACUCCACUGUGCCUGUUAUCUACUGUUGUUAGCUUAUCCAGUAAUUCUUGUAGUAGUAGUUAUCCUUCAAGAGUAUAGAUGACAUGUGAUUUUUUUUUAUCUGCUUAAAGACAGGAAUGUCUUUAAGGGGCUUAUGAGGGGAGACAAAGUUUCACCAAUGACUUUAUCUAUGGUGUUGGUAUAGUGUUCUUUCAGAAUGUAUACAAUUUACCUUGUUCAUUCAAAUGCUGAUUUCUCUCCCUCACUAUCUGGUUUCAAUUUGGGCAUUGCAUUGUGAUGCUUACUCUAAGCAUCACCUGUCUCAAGUUUGUGUAAACAUGUCACCGUUUGUUCUCUAUAUUGUCAAUUAAAAAACAACCAUCCACAAUUCUGAGCAAUGGAGAGGGUGGGACAUCCUGGUUCGGAGUGGGAAGAAGAGGAAGGAAGGAGAAGAGGAGAAGAGAGAAUCCAGAGGAGAGGACUUGGAACCACUUGGAGAGAUGGGACCAGACCUAAGAAAUGACUAAAAGCAAGUAUAAUGGGUGAAAUCUGAAUGGUAGGAAACUAUGUGGGCUUGAGGUUUAGGAUGGAAUAACUAUUGCCCAGCAUUGUGCUCUAGGUUAAUUAUAUAAUUCUCAGUCUCUGUGUGGUGAUUUCAGUAUAUAGCUGGUUUAGGAAUAACUGCAGCUUUACUAAAAAAAUAUAUAUCUAUAAUAAAUAUUAAUAAUGAUAACACUAUGGUUUGGUUUCUAUUCCCUUAUGAAACAACUGUAAGUUUUAUUCAUAAAGAACGAAUCACCUGAGAAAGUCAGUAGGCUUUGUGGACAGCAAGAAACAACCUUUGGCUAAUAUGGCUGAUAUCUAGUGUUUAAAAACUCCCCUAUCAAUGGACUUGGGGAGGGGCAUGAGUGAAGAAGGGGGAGGGAGAAUGUGGUCAGGAGGGGAGGAGGGAGGGGCUUAUGAGGGGAGACAAAGUGAAUAAAGUGUAAUUAAUAAAAAAUAUGUAUAUAUAUUAAACAAUUUUAAAUAUAAAUAAAUAAAUAAUGAACCACAAUACCAAUCAUGCCCUAAUAUUCAAAUUAACAUAAGUGGUGGUUAUUUAAAUGUAUAAUAUGUGGAUUUUAAAGUCACUGAUGUUUGCUCUUAAGUUCAUAGUGAAUACUCUCACAUCUGUAAGAGUUUUUUGGUUUGUCUGGUCUUCUGCUCCCUAAUAAAAUUUUCAUCUUUGUAAAAAAAAAAAAAAAAACAAAAAACUAGUCCUAAUUAUUGGCCAUACCACACAGAGAACAUUUCAAAUUUAUCCCAAGACAGGAUAUUGUUAAAAUCAAACUGAUAAAGAAGAAAUGACUAGUUUAAAGUUGAGUUAUAAACUUUGAACUACAAGGAGUGGCAAACUAGACUUAAGGUAACAGUCCAAUUCCUCAUGGGUUUAUGCCGAUAGAAAGAAGCAUGGGUACAAAAGAAAAUAACAGCAGGAAAAACAACCAGGGAUGGAUUUGAUACCCAAGGUCUUCCCGCAGUGGCCUGGGUGUGGAGUGAAGAGGAAGAAGAGAUUCUUCCUGGGAGAGGAAGAAUCCCCAAACACUAAGUAGUAUAUAGACAUGUAGUUCUCAUUAAUUUAUUUGAAGAAAUAAGCGGCCUGUAACUAUUUACUAUCAUUCCUUCCUUAUGUCUCUCUGUAUUUUAUGUUAUCUUUACUGGGUAUUAUUAUUAUUAUUAAAUUAAAUUUUAUAUCGUUUAUUAAUAAAAUAAAAUGUAUUCAUUAGAAUAAUAUAAGCUUACCUAUGAAUUUGUUUUGUAACAAACUACUAGUUUAAAUGUACUAAUGCUUUCAGGCUAAAAAAGUCAUAUAGAAAGUUUUUUUCCCUGCAGCUGAAGAAGUGAGAAAUUAUCACUAUAUGCAGAGAAAAAUAAACGGGAACUCCACAAAACCAAUACUGCCAAGGGGCUAGCAGCCAAACAUGUUAACAUUGACCCAUUUGCUACAAACACGACUGAGACAGGGAAUUAAUCAUUAAACAUCAUUCUGUUCAUUAAAUGAUGACUCCCAUUGAAUUAUUUCUUUUUUUAAUUUUAAUUUUAUAUUAAUUAUAGUUUAUUCACUUUGUAUCCCAGCUGUAGCACCCUUCCUCAUUCCCUCCCAAUCCCACCCUCCUCCCCUCAUCUCCUCCAUGCCCCUCCCCAAGUCCACUGAUAGGGGAGGUCCUCCUCAUUGACACUAACAGCAGCUGUCACAUUUCUCCUCUUACCUUGGAUCACAAUUAAUGAUUUAUCUCACCAAAGAUUUUUCUAAGUAUUAAGUAAAAUGACCUUAGCCUUAUGCUUUAUUAUCUUGUCUAAAUUGCUUAUACCAAAGCCCAAGUAAAUGCUUUAUAAGUUUUCAAUUUCUUUACUUUUGUCCCACAUUGAGGAUAUGUAUGUAUGUAUUUAUGUAUGUGUAUAUAUUUAUACAACUUUAUAAAUAUACAUUUAUUUGCAUAUUAUAUAUUUAUAUGUAUGUAUGUAUGCAUUUGCCCUCUUUGGGUCUUUGUUUCUGAAGGAACCUAUGUUAUAUGAAACUCCCAUAGAUACAUUUAUUUGCUUUCUUAUAUCAAUCUGUCCCUGGCAAUAGGUCUCGAGCCACAGGACCCAAGAUACAGAAUAAAGUGCAUCUUUUCUGUUUACCUAUGGUGCGGUGUGCUGUCCACCAACCUGUAGCAACCCUGCUCUCUUGAUUCGUACUUGUGACCUUGACCAGAUCUGACGUAGGUUGUAGAUGUAAAUGUCUACAGGAAAAUAAGAUUGGUACGUGAAAUUGCACUGACAGUUUGACGCCAGUGUGCUGACAGCGGUUCAGCUGCAGGAUUUUGUACUGCAUGAAUCACGGCAGCUCUAGCUUGUUUACUGCACGGCCCUGAACAACAGACAGCCUGAGCCUGUACCAGCUCUGCUUUGCUCUUUGCUGACCUCUCAGACCCCAUUACUUACAAAAGGUGUAUUUUAGUCCACUAAAAACUAAAUGUAUAGCUUAUGUGGGAAAUGCCAGAACAAUCAUACAGACAUGCUGAGUCUGUGUGUGGAUUAUGUUUCAAACAGCACAGCCAGUUUUAUCCUAAUGAUUUAUAAUACCUCUUUUAUGUGGAAUAACAAAGUGCGUGAAUUAAUCAGGAGAAGGAAAAUAUAAUUCUAUUAUCAUCAAAGAAAGAAACUUAUUUCUGAACAGCCUCUGGCACAAAAUCUCCCGCUAUCAAGUUGGGUGAAUGACUAGCUGAUGUGAGAUGGGAGGAAAAGGAGUUGACUGAGGUGAUCUCUCAUAUGUGUAACUAUCAAGUAUGAGUCAUCUGGAUAUCAAUGAUAGGAAAGGGAAAUGACAAUAAAGACCUCGAUGUAUGUGACUAUCCAAUAGCUUACUGGGUCCAGGCCAUCCUAUCCAUGAAAAUCUCAUUGGUCACCAUCUACAUAGUGCAAAGGAGACCUUUGACUCUGUAUUUGGACUCUUCUACACUUUUCAAGACUCUACUGUUAUCAGAUUCAAAGGGAGGGGUGAUAUCCUCAGAGGUAGCACUCAACCCACUCUGGAGCUAACAGCCAGUAGUAUCCUUCUGCUGUGAACAUAUUGUUUCUACUGAUGUAUGAGAUGCUCUUUAAGCCUCCUGGAAGAUAAAUAUCUUUAUCUUUAAAGAUAUCUUUGUCUUUAGAAUCUAAAAAUAUUCGACUUUGGAACUAGGUUAUCAUCUGACUCCCAGUGAACCUCUGACUAUGACUUAUUCAGGAAAACUUGACAUGGGUACCUUCCGCAGAGUAUGAGAUGGAACUAUCCUCCAUUGAGGAUGCUUCUUCAGUUAAGGUUCCCUUCUCCGAAUGGUGUGGAAUCGUGUGUACUGCCUGAGCACAUGAUCUGAAAGUAUAGAUACUGACCUAUAUACACUCUAAGUCCGGGGGGAUAAUAAGACCUCUGCCCUACCACUAUCUAGUCCCAGUAGAACACUGAAUAAAUCUUCAACUGAAAAAAGAAAGACAUUUAAAGAUAAAGUCCACCCUAUAACCUAAUUCCAGGUGUGAAAACCCCAGUACAAAAAUCAUAAAAACUCUCGACAAUACACCUCCUGGAAAGUAAUUGAUUACAUGGUACUUAGUUCCAAUGACAGUGAACUGAAUAAAAUAACAGAUGAAGAACUUAAAAGAAUUAUUAUAAGAUAUUUCAGCAAAUCAAAAAGGAUACAACUAACCCCCUGAAUAAAGUCAUAGACAAUCCAAAUGAGAAGCUAAAUGAAAUAAAGAUGUCAGUACAAUGUAUGAAAGAGGAAGCCAGUCAACACAUAGUGGGUUCCAUAGUAAUGGGAACAGGGACUGCCUCUGACAUAAUCUGAUAGGCCUAUUCUUUGAUCACCUCCCCUUGAGGGGUGAGUAGCCUUACCAGGCCACAGAAGAUGACAAUGCAGCCACUCCUGAUGAGAUCUGAUAGACUAAGAUCAGAAGGAAGGAGAGGGGGACCUCCUCUAUCAGUGGACUUGGGGAGGGGCAUGAGUGAAGAAGGGGGAGGGAAGGUGGGAUUAGGAGGAGAGGAGGGAGGGGUUUAUGGGGGAUACAACGUGAAUAAAAUGUAAUUAAUAAAAGUUAAAAAAAUUAAAAAAGAAAUAGUGAAAAAAUAAAAAAGUUAAAAAUGAAAACCUCACUCAAUAAAGUAAAAAUCUCAGUGGAAAUAGAGAGGAUCUUCAGGAAGGUGGACUAUCAGAGCCUGAAGACAAAUGUAUGUGAAUUAAAAUGUUCACACAACAAAGACACAAUAAUGAUAAGGUAUAAACAGAACAUACAAGAUUUGCAGGACAUCAUUAUAUGACCAAGUAAAUGAAUCAUGGGCAUAGAAAGGGAGAAAAAAUAUAAGAUAAAAAAGUAUAUUCAAUAAAACAAUAGCAAAAGAAAAUCCAAAUCUAGAGGAAAAGAUGGCUAUGCAGAUACUGGAAGCAUUUGGAAUGUCAAACAGAUAAGCCCAGGGGGGAAACUAUACAGAACAAAGAAAGUACUUUGGAAGUCACAAGACAAUAUUAUUAAGUCACACAAUAGCAAGCCCAUUAGAAUAAUAGCAGAUUUCUCAACAGAAACUCUGAAAGAAGAGCAUGGAGUGAUGUAUUUCAAGCUUUGAAACACAGUAACUGCCAAACCAAAUUACUGUAUAUACCAAAACGAUCCAUCAUAAUUGAAUGAGAAAGAAAAACCCUGUGAUAAACAAAAACUAAAGAAAUUUAUGACCACUAUGCCAGCACUAUAGAAAAAUACCUACUCACUAAAGAGAGAAAUAAAUGUACCCAUGAGGCCACAGGAAAGAAUAAACUGUACUAUACUACCCUAUAUGCAAAUUAGGAUCAGAAACACUGCAAAGACAGCAAAAUGUUGGAAAUUAACAAGAACUCUCUAUCAAUAACAAUUCCGAAUGUUAAAAUAACCUCAAUACCCCAACCAAAUGGCACAGACCCAAUGGUUGGAUUUAGCAAUAGAAGCCAUGUAUUGUGACACACAAAACCACAGCUCAUUAGUAAGGACAAAAAAUAAAAUAAAAUAAAAUAAAAUAAAAUAAAAUAAAAUAAAAAGACUUAGAUGGCAUUCCAAGGAAAUAGAAGUAGAAAACCCACACAAUAACAACAACACACCAAAAUGUAGCUACAUUAGUAUCUGGAAAAAUUAGAGUUCAAAACAAAAGUAGUCAGAAAAUACAAAGAAAAUAAGCUCAUAAUGAUGAUUAAGGGAACAUCAGUAAACCAAAUUUCAUUUGAAAAAAAAAGGGUAUUGCUAUAUGUAAAGUUGCACGCUGAUUUCAACACUGUAAUAGUGGGUGACUUGAAUAUCCCCUUUCACCAAUAUAUAGAUCACCUAGACUAAAAAUCAACAAAGAAAUAUCAGAGCUAAGUGGUAUGAUAAUUCUAAUGGACUUAACAGAUUAGAUUCAUGAUAGGUAGGUAAGUAGAUAGAUGAUAGAUAGAUGUUAGAUAAAUAGAUAGAUAGAUAGAUAGAUAGAUGACAACCUGUUAAAAUGUAUACACUUUAAAAAAUUAGACAGGUCCCAAAUAAAAAAUUUAAUAAUACAUCCCCAUCUCCAUGGAGAAAAAAGAAAAGCCCAACCCAAAAUCAGGAGAUAGAAGGAAAGAUCAAGGCAUAAAUCAUUGAAAUGGAAAUGCAAAGAACAAUACAAGGAAUCAAUGGCUCAAAUAGUAGGGUAUGUGGAAUAAUAAACUAGAUUGCAAGCUCUUAGGUAAAUUGACUAAAACAGAAAAGACCUGAAUUAGUGACGUUAGGUAUGAAAAGGGAAACAUUUCGAAAGAUAUCAAUGAACUUCAAACCAGUAGGGAAUGACUUGAAACCCUACAUUCUAGUAAAUUGGAAAAAUCUAAAAGAAAUGGGUAAAUUUCUAGACAUAAAAUGUAGCCAAAUUCAACCAAGAAGAAAUGAACAAGUAGAUACAAAACAUACAACAAUAAUGAAGUAAUUUAAAGGCCCCUAGUUUGCAGGACAUGGUGGUGCACGCCUUUAAUUCCAGCACUCACAAGGCAGAGGCAGGAGGAUCUCUGUGAGUUUGAGACCAGCCUGGUCUACAAAGUGAGUCCAGGAUAGCCAAGGCUACACAGAAAAACCCUGUCUCCAAAAACAAAACAAAAAAACAAAAAAGUCCCCCAACUAAAAUAGCCCUGGCUCAGAUGGAUUCACAGAUGAAUUUGACAAGACCAUUAUAAAAUAUUUAAUGCCUGUGUCCUAUGAACUUCAUGAUAGAAAGCUAAUUCAUUUUACAAAUAUAGUACUACUUUGAUACCAAAACAACAACAACAACAAAAUGUCCACACAGCAAAAAAGAACUAAUCCUCCCUCCUUAAUAAAAAUAAACACACAAAUUCUUUUAUUUUGAAUACUGGCAUGGGGGUGGAAGGAUUAAAGACUGGCUGUUACACUGGCUGCACUUUCAGAAGACCUGGGUUUGAGUCCCAGCACCCACACAGUGGCUCACAACUAUCUGUGACUCCAGUUCUAGGGGAAAUCUAAUACCCUUUUCAGGCUUCCACAGGCACCAGGCACACACAUGGUGCACAGGCAUAACACAGGCAAAACACCUGCACACAUAAAAUAGGUUAAUUAUUUUUUUAAAUGUUGAUAGCCAAGCAUGGUGGUGCAUGUCUCUAAUCCCAAGAUUUGAUGGGAAAGCCAUGUGGAUCUCUGAGAGUAUAACAUAAUCAUGGUCUUUAUAGAGAUUCCAGGCUGGCAAGAGCUACAUAGAGAGAUCUUGCCUCAAAAAUACAUAUACACAUACAUACAUGCAUACACACAUACAUGUAUACAUACAUACAUGCUACUAGCAAACGCAAUUUAACAAUACAGCAGAGAGCUCAUUUACUCUAAUCAAGUUGGCUGUCUUCCAUGGAUACAAAGAUGUAUCCAUUUGUGUAAAUAUAAAUGAAAUAAUUCAAAUGAGCACACUCAAAGUCAGAAAUCGUAUAAUCCAGUCAAUAGAUGCAGUAAAGGCCUAUGACAAAGUCUGACAUCUCUUCAUAAUAAAAGCCCUGAUGAGACCAGAAACAGAAGGGAUAUAAACCAAUCUCAUUAGGCUAUAUAUGCAAAACUUAAUGGGGAAAAUUAAAAGCAUUCCCUCUACAAUCAGGAAUAAAUUUCUACUUUCUUCAUUCUUUUUAAAUUUACUUCCUGAAAUCUUAGCUAUAUAAAUAAGAUAAAAGAAUAAAAUAAAGGUGAUACAAGUUUGGAAGGAAGUUUUUUUUAAUUGUCCCUACUUGUACAUGACAUGGUUCAAUAUUGAUUCCAAAAAAAAAUUUUACAUCUUAAAACACCAACAAUAGAGUAAUGGUACAAAACAACACACAAAAGCAGGUGCCUUCCCAACACCAAUAACAUGCAUGCUGAGAGAGAGUCAUGGAAUACUCCAACUCACAACACCUUCAAAAUAAAAUAAAAUGUCUCGAAAUAAACCCAACUUAGGAAGUAAAUGAAAAUUACAAUGGAAUUUUGAAAACAAUGAGGAAAGAAAUUGAAAAAGACACAACUAUAUAGAAAGACCGCUCACGCUCAUAGGUUGGCAGAAUUGAUUUUGUGAAGAACAUCUAUAUUAGUGAAAAUCUCUGAAGAUUUGAUAAAAUUUUCAUCAAAAUUCCAAUGAUAUUCUGCACAGAACUACAAAAAAUAAAAUAAAAAGGUAUACAGACACACAAAAGACUCAGAACAGCCAAAGUAAUCCUAAACACAAAAAGCAAUUCUAGAAGUAACAGAAGAUUUUAUUUCAAUACUGACACCAAAACAGACAGAUAGAUCAAGGAAUAGAAUAGCAGCUACAGAAAUAAACUCAUGCUGUUAACAGCCACGUGGUUUUUAUGAAGAAGUCAAAAAGAUAUAUUGAAGAAAAGACAACCAUUUCUGAAUUGGUAUUUUAUGUAGAAGUGUGAUACUAGAGCCGUACCACUCACCAUGGACAAAACCAACACAAAAAUGAGUGAAAUAUAACUAACGUUGUGUCCUGGCUUCGUUUCUGUUUUAAAAUCCAGAGCAAAAAGUAGCACAGGAGAGGAAGGGUUUAUCCAUUAUAGUCCAUUAUUUCAGGGAAGUCAAAAGCAGCUGAAGUACUACAUCCACGGUCAAUAGCAGAGCGAGGAUACACGCAUGGGCACUACUUACUCGCUUGAUCUCAGCUAGCUUUCUUCUCUCUCAUGUCUUCUUCUCUCCACAAGUCCCUGGCUAGGGAAUGGUGCUUCUAUGGUAAACUGGCUCUUCUCACAUCCAUUAACAAUCAAGACAAUAUCCCACAAACAUGCCCACAGGCCAGCCUGAUCUAGACAUUUCCUCAUUAAGACCCUCUGCUCACAUGGUUCUAAGAUCUGUCGAGUUAGCUGUUAAAACUAACCAGCAUCACAGGAAACUCUGAGCUGCUAAAAGAAAACACAGGGACAAUUCACCAAACUAAUGCACAAGCAAGGGGUUAUCCAUAAAUGAGAGCAAUUGUUAGGAAAGCCUACAGAAUGGGAGGGAAAGCUUCGCCAGAGGACUAACAGCUAGAAUUUUAAAAGAACUCAAAACAAUACCAAGAAACUAAAUAUCUAGGUCAAUUAGUGUGUUAAAGAAGUGAACAAACCAUCUCAAAAGUUGAAGUACAAAUAACCAAUAAACAUGGGAAAAAUGUUCAACAUUUUUAGCUGUCAGUGAAAUGCAAAUUAAAACAGCAUUGAGUUCUCCAACAGAAGGGCUAUCACUAAGAAAACAAGUAAUAAAUGCCCGUGAGGAUGCAGGGACAGGCUACCUUUAUACACUGCUGAUGUUUACUGUAUCGUCAUUCAUACUAGUUAAGUUAUGAAAUUGGCCCUGGUGUCCAUCAACUUGUGAGUUGGUUAAAAAAAAAAAAAAAAGGUGGUAUGUAUACACAGUGAAGUUUUAUAUAGUCAUAAGUAGGAAAAUGUACACAACUAAGUACUCAACAUAUUAAGUAAAAUAAGUCAGACUCAGAAAGGCAAAUACUGUGUAUUUUCUCUCUUCUUUGAAUCCAGAAUUAUUCACACACAUACACACAGAGAGAGAGAGACAGAGAGACAGAGACAGAGACAGGAAAGCUAAGGCCAGACUGGGAGAAUGAAUGUUAACGGUGGGUAUAGGAGGAGAGAGAAAUGGGAGGAGUAAAUUCAGUCAGUGUAUAGACUUAUUUGCAGGAGGGAGUCCUGCAGUACGUAUAUUGAAUAUUAGCCAGUAAACCUUUAUUUUAAAAAGAAAUACGUUAUUUAUGAAGCAAAAUAUAAUUAAAAUAUACCAAUUACUUCUCUUACAUUUUAAUUCUGUCUGUUUAAGACCUUUGGUUUAUAAACUAUUACACUGUGAGAAAACAUGGAAAAUGGUCUAACCCUUAUUCUCACAAUAAUUCUAAAGGGCUGGUGAAGAUCACGCUCAAGACCUUGCGAUGAGGCACUUCAGCACUAAACUAUAUCCCCAGCCCUUCUUACAAGGAAUACUUUUUUGCCCUAUGAUAAAUUAUUAGUUACUAACUCCCACUUGUGGCUAGAUAAGGGAGGGUUAAAAAACAACAGGGGCUUAAGAGAUGGCUCAGUGUUUAAGAGUGCUUACUGCUCUUGCAGAGGACCAGGAUUCAGUUCCUAGCACACACAUCAGGGGCUCACAACUGGCUGUAACUCGGUUCUAGAGAACCCAAUCUCUCGGAUCUCAGAGAGCAUCUACAUGCAAGUAACACACAUGAACUUGUACAGGCACAUACAUACACAUAAACAAAACACUUCAGCUAGAUUCAACUCAAAAUUGCCAGAUGGAUCAUUAUCCCCAAACUCUCCCACUCUGUCUAUCAUCAACUCACAAAUAUGAUGGUGAAAAAAAAGGGAAGAAACUUCCAUUUAAAGGCAAUUACACAUACUACACCUCAGACCAAAGCACUGGACUCAGACAACUUUUUGUUCUGAUCAAAACCCACAAGUAAAAAAAAAAAAUGUUAAACUUCCUUUAAUUUGAUAAACUAUAGGGGGAAUCCCUGGAAUUACUCACAUAAAUAAUAACCAAAUAUUUUCUCUUCAGACAGUGGAUUACACUGAAAAGGAGAUUGUCUUGUCAGCCAUGCUUGAGAGAAAAACUAUAUUGGCACAUUGGAAAAUAUGGUCAGUGCAUUUGGGAAAACUGAGAAAAAAAUAAAAACCUUAUAAAUGCUUUCUAGAAAAAAAAAAGGAAGAAGCCUGAAAAAACAAGCACCCACGUUUGACAGCCAAAAUUAUCCCUACAAACAGAAAUACACACAAACAAAACAUAUACAUAUGCAAAUAUAUGCACAGCAUACACACAUACAUACACACACACACACAACACACAUAGAUACAUACACACAUACACAAACAACACACAUACAACACACACACACCUUCAAUAUUUUUACCAGCACUUCACAUUAGCUAACAGAUGAUAAUCUAGAGAAAACCAGAGACGCUACUUGUUUUCUUGUAAAUUCUGCAUAAAAUCUAUUCAUCCCACAGACUGGAGAAUUCUAAGGGCUCUGAGAUCCAUGGACACCAUCAUAUGGACAAAUGGCAGUGUAUCUACCUGUCAAUGCUAUCACAGAAAGAUGCACAUAUCGGCCCAGCUGAAUCAGAUGUGCGUGAUCACAGACGUGGCAUGCAUCCCCUACUCAGUCAUCCAGGACAAACGGGCUCAUUUAUAUAUAUAGCUUUACCAUUUAAAAGAUAUUUGACUUUUCAUAGCAUCCUUGAUUUCUUGGAUAUUUUGUGAUUGGAACUUUUCUGAUUUUACUUUUCCUUUGAGAGAAGUAUCAAUUUCUGCAAGUGUGUCUUCAGCUCCAGAGAUUCUCUCUUCCAUCUCUUGUAUUCUGUUGGUGAUGCUUACUUUUGUGGUUCCUGAUCUUUUCUCCAAGUUCUCCAGCUCAAAGGGUUUUCUCAUUUUGUGUUUUCUUUAUUGAUUCUAAUUCUGUUUUCAUGCCUUGCACCAUUUCUUUCAUGUGUUUGAAUUUGGAUUCCUGUCUCUCUACGGUGGCCUCUAUUUCUUUGUUCAUUUCCUUUUUAUAUGCCACUAAUUUUUUCUCUACUUGUGUAUUUGUUUGGCUAUGUUUGCCUGUGUUUCUUUAAGGAUUUUUUCUAUUUCUUCUUUCUUUAGCUCCAAUUGACUGGCCAACUCUUUGAAAGAUUUGUUCAUUUCCUCCUUAUGAGCCUCAAAUAAUUGGGCAAGCAUGACUUUAAAAUCAUUUUCCUGUGCUUCUGAUGAAUUGGAGUAUCCAUUGAUUUUGGGGUUUGCUGGUGAAGUCAUGAUGUCCUGAUUUAUGUUGGAAGUGUUCUUUCGCCUACCCCUGGCCAUUGGCUUAUCUGAAACCUUCCCUGUUUGUUUUUGGAUUCUGCAGAUCAGACUAGUACUGUCUCUCUCUGGUGUCUGGAGAGUUCUUCAGGAAGCUGAGAACUCUCAGCGUGUGCUGAGGACUAGCUGUACCUGUGGGAAGAAAGUACGCAGGCGCGAACGGGGCAGAUGCAAGCGUGCACGCAUGCGCGUGUGUGUGCGUGUGUGUGUGUGUGUGUGUGUGUGUGUGUGUAAGUAUGUGUGGACGUGUGUCUCAAGGGACAAAGUGAUGGCUAAUGUUGAACCCUUGAGUGUGUGGGAGGGGCUCUGUACUGUAUAUGUCACAGGCGCUAGUGAUAGUCUUCUGAUAAUACAUUUAUAUGAAGAAAAAUCAUAUAGACUUAGUGAUAGAAUAUAGCAACGGCUUUUAAGAUGUAUAAACAGAUGUGAUAGCUUAUCAUAUUUCUUAAGCCAUGUCCUAUUAUAUUGAAUUGUAUGACAAAAAUAAUUUUAAUUAAAAUUAAAAUUCUAUGAAGCAGAAUGUGGACACUGAAAUUAAAUACUUAUUCUGAAAGCUA
Molecule: long non-coding RNA, 15437 nt
Organism: Meriones unguiculatus (Mongolian gerbil)
Lineage: Eukaryota; Metazoa; Chordata; Mammalia; Rodentia; Muridae
Exons: 3
Source: RefSeq, a predicted model, not a curated record